Molecule: long non-coding RNA, 409 nt
Filed under: Lathyrus oleraceus (garden pea)
Lineage: Eukaryota; Viridiplantae; Streptophyta; Magnoliopsida; Fabales; Fabaceae
Description: Pisum sativum (pea) long non-coding RNA (PSAT_LNC035518)
Source: RNAcentral
UAUUGAUCAUGCAUAUUCAACCACUCCAUAAAACAUGUCGCAUCUUCAUCAUUAUCUCACAGCUACAACACAUUCCAACCAUCUCAUUUACGUUACCAUACAUAACCUUUUGUCGUCGUGAAACUCAUCACCUCGUAUACAACAUCUCAUGUAAUCAACCACCAUUAAUCCAUUUUCUCUCUUGAUCUCUCAAACUACUUUGAUCCAACAACCUACACGCUAUCUUCCCUGUUACCAUCGUGCAAAGCAACAACAACACCGAACACAAUCGUCCAACCACCCUCUUACACCCAAACCAUACAUCUUCUUCACAUAUAAGCCCUCAUGCUAACUUUCCGUCUCCGACGACGUAGCCACCAUGAAUAUGACUAACCACUACAUCAACUUCACUCAACAACUUCUGAUUUAG